GCGUGCAGGAUGAAGGCCUUCGGGUUGUAAACUGCUUUUGUACGGAGCGAAACGGCUCUCACUAAUACUGGGGGCUAAUGACGGUACCGUAAGAAUAAGCACCGGCUAACUACGUGCCAGCAGCCGCGGUAAUACGUAGGGUGCGAGCGUUAAUCGGAAUUACUGGGCGUAAAGCGUGCGCAGGCGGUGAUGUAAGACAGGUGUGAAAUCCCCGGGCUUAACCUGGGAACUGCAUUUGUGACUGCAUUGCUGGAGUGCGGCAGAGGGGGAUGGAAUUCCGCGUGUAGCAGUGAAAUGCGU
RNAcentral lists this ribosomal RNA (300 nucleotides) under uncultured bacterium. RNAcentral's name for it is "bacterial SSU rRNA". It matches the Rfam family "Bacterial small subunit ribosomal RNA", at positions 399 to 691 of the family's 1533-position model. The record is from RNAcentral.